RNAcentral lists this ribosomal RNA (2873 nucleotides) under Candidatus Xiphinematobacter sp. RNAcentral's name for it is "23S ribosomal RNA". It matches the Rfam family "Bacterial large subunit ribosomal RNA". Lineage: Bacteria; Pseudomonadati; Verrucomicrobiota; Spartobacteria. The record is from RNAcentral.
GAGAAAGUUAUUAAGAGUGCAUGAUGGAUGCCUUGGUGCCAGAAGGCUAUGAAGGACGUGAUAAGCUGCGAUAAGCUACGGUGAGCGGCAAAUACGCUUCGACCCGUAGAUUUCCGAAUGGGGUAACCCUUCCCAAGUCAUGUUGGGAAACUGCCACUUGAAUCUAUAGAGUGGUUUGAGCAAUACCCGGUGAAGUGAAACAUCUCAGUAACCGGAGGAAGAGAAAGCGAAUGCGAUUCCGUAAGUAGUGGCGAGCGAAAGCGGAACAGUCCAAACCGGAUAGCUAUGCUCUCCGGGGUAGUAGGAUCCCAAAAAGAGUAGUUUGGACGUUAGGUAAAGCGCGUGGAAAAGCGCCCCGUAGAGGGUGAGAGGCCCGUGACCGAAAACUGAAGGACAUUCUGGGAAUUCCUGAGUAAUGCGAUGCACGUGAAACUUCGCAUGAAGCCACGCCGACCACGGCGUAAGACUAAAUACUAGCUGGCGACCGAUAGUGAACUAGUACCGUGAGGGAAAGGUGAAAAAGUACCGCUGUGAGCGGAGUGAAAGAGUACCUGAAAUCGUGCACUUACAAGGUGUCAAAGUCUCGCAAGAGAUGAUGGCGUGCCUUUUGCUUAAUGAGUCUGCGAGUUAGUAUCUGUGGCAAGUUUAAGCCCCUCUGGGGUGUAGGCGAAGCGAAAGCGAGUCUGAAAUGGGCGAUUUGAGCCGCAGGUGCUAGACCCGAAGCGGAGGUGAUCUACCCAUGGCCAGGAUGAAGCCUCGGUAAUACGAGGUGGAAGACCGAACUCGUGGACGUUGAAAAGUCCUGGGAUGAGCUGUGGGUAGGAGCGAAAGACUAAUCAAACCCCGUGAUAGCUGGUUCUCCCCGAAAUCUAUUGAGGUAGAGCCUCGUGUGCUGACCCGCAGAGGUAGAGCACUGGAUGAACUAGGGCCCAUACCAGGGUACCGAAUUCAAUCAAACUCCGAAUGCUGCGGGGUGGAACACGGGAGGCAGUCCAUGAGGGAUAAGCUUCAUGGUCGAGAGGGAAACAACCCAGAUCAGCAGCUAAGGUGCCUAAAUCGUGCUUAGUGGAAAGGAAGUGAGGUUGCUUAGACACUGAGGAUGUUGGCUUAGAGGCAGCCAUCAUUUAAACAGUGCGUAAUAGCUGACUCAGCGAGUGAUCUUGCGCCGAAAAUGAUUGGCGAUAAGCGCGAUACCGAAGCUCUGGAUUUCUCAGGGAGGUCUCUCUGAGGAGUGGUAGGGGAGCGUUGUCAGUACGGAGAAGCUUUCAGGUAACUGGGGGUGGAGUGCUGACAAGUGAGAAUGCAGACAUGAGUAGCGAUAAGCCGGGUGGAAUUCCCGGCCGCCGUAAACCCAAGGUUUCCUGGGCAAGGUUCGUCCUCCCAGGGUGAGUCGGAACCUAAGUCGAGGCCGGAGGGCGUAGACGAUGGAGAGCAGGUUAAUAUUCCUGCACCAGUUUGGUCAAAGCGCAGUGGGGACGUAUGAUGAGAGUGUGGCCGCCGAUUGAAAGUGGCGGUCCCCCUUAAAGGGGGGGACGUGGAGGCUUCGGCCUAAGCGGAUUGCACUAACAAAAUACCAAGAAAAGCUGCUGUGCGUUCCCUAGCUGUCCGUACCGCAAACCGACACAGGUGGGUGGGCAUAAGUGUGCCAAGGCGCGUGAGUGAAACCUCGUUAAGGAACUCGGCAAUCUAGCCCCGUAACUUCGGAAGAAGGGGUGCCCCCCCUAGGGGGGGUCGCAGUGAAUGGGGUCAACCGACUGUUUAACUAAAACACAGCACUCUGCUAAAUCGUAAGAUGAUGUAUAGGGUGUGACACGUGACCAAUGCCGAAAGAUUACGGUAAGAGGUUAGCCCCCAAAGGGCGAAGCUUCGAUCCUAAGUCCCGGUGAAUGUCGGCCGUAACUAUAACGGUCCUAAGGUAGCGAAAUUCCUUGUCGGGUAAGUUCCGACCCGCACGAAUCGUGUAACGAGUUGACCGCUGUCUCAACGAGGAGCUCAGCGAAGUUGUAAUGGCGGUGAAGAUGCCGCCUACCCGCAGUAGGACGGAAAGACCCUAUGCACCUUUACUGUACGCUGUCAUUGGUAUUUCGGUUUUGAUGCUUAGCGUAAGUGGGAGGCUAUGAUCCGCAGCUUUUGGGCUACGGUGAGCCGCCGGUGAAACACCACUCUUCAAUAUUGGAAUACCUAACCUUAGCCCGUUAACCGGGUGAGGGACCCUGGCAGCUGGUCAGUUUGACUGGGGCGGUCUCCUCCCAAAGAGUAACGGAGGAGUACGAAGGUUGGCUCAGCUUGGUUGUCAAUCAAGCGACGAGUAUAUGGAUAUAAGCCAGCUUAACUGUGAGACCUACAAGUCGAGCAGAUGCGAAAGCAGGUCCAAGUGAUCCGGUGGUCGAAUGUGGAAUUGCCAUCGCUCAACGGACAAAAGGUACGCUAGGGAUAACAGGCUGAUCCUGCCCAAGAGCUCAUAUCGACGGCAGGGUUUGGCACCUCGAUGUCGGCUCAUCACAUCCUGGGGCUGGAGAAGGUCCCAAGGGUCCGGCUGUUCGCCGGUUAAAGUGGUACGCGAGCUGGGUUCAGAACGUCGUGAGACAGUUCGGUCCUUAUCCACUGUGGGCGCAGGAGAAUUGAGGGAUUCAGUCCCUAGUACGAGAGGACCGGGAUUGACAAACCUCUGGUGAGCCAGUUGUUCCGUCAGGGGCACCGCUGGGUAGCUAAGUUUGGAAAGGAUAAGCGCUGAAAGCAUCUAAGCGCCAAGCCCUUCCCAAGAUGAGUUCUCCCUUAAGAGUCGUGGAAGACUACCACGUUGAUAGGUUGCAGGUGUAAGCAUAGCAAUAUGUUCAGCUCAGCAAUACUAAUAACUCGUUUGACUUUCCUAG